GUCCCGUAACGAGCGCAACCCUUGUCCUUAGUUACCAGCACCUCGGGUGGGCACUCUAAGGAGACUGCCGGUGACAAACCGGAGGAAGGUGGGGAUGACGUCAAGUCAUCAUGGCCCUUACGGCCAGGGCUACACACGUGCUACAAUGGUCGGUACAAAGGGUUGCCAAGCCGCGAGGUGGAGCUAAUCCCAUAAAACCGAUCGUAGUCCGGAUCGCAGUCUGCAACUCGACUGCGUGAAGUCGGAAUCGCUAGUAAUCGUGAAUCAGAAUGUCACGGUGAAUACGUUCCCGGGCCUUGUACACACCGCCCGUCACACCAUGGGAGUGGGUUGCUCCAGAAGUAGCUAGUCUAACCGCAAGGGGGACGGUUACCACGGAGUGAUUCAUGACUGGGGUGAAGUCGUAACAAGGUAGCCGUAGGGGAACCUGCGGAUGGAUCACCUCCUU
RNAcentral lists this ribosomal RNA (448 nucleotides) under Pseudomonas aeruginosa. Its description in RNAcentral is "bacterial SSU rRNA". It matches the Rfam family "Bacterial small subunit ribosomal RNA", at positions 1084 to 1532 of the family's 1533-position model. Lineage: Bacteria; Pseudomonadati; Pseudomonadota; Gammaproteobacteria; Pseudomonadales; Pseudomonadaceae. The record is from RNAcentral.